This is a long non-coding RNA of Trichosurus vulpecula (common brushtail), 507 nucleotides long. RefSeq lists it as uncharacterized. The transcript is spliced from 2 exons. The record is from RefSeq and is a predicted model, not a curated record. Lineage: Eukaryota; Metazoa; Chordata; Mammalia; Diprotodontia; Phalangeridae.
CUUACCAGAUCAGUGUUGCAACCUGGUGGCCCCUCCAGGAGAUAUAAGGCCUUGGAAUGAAAUGGAACCAUAACAAUAGGAUGUGCCUGUCCAAAUGCCUCCCUUUGAGGUUGUACACGAACUGCUCAGUGUCAGAUCGAAAUCCCCCAGUGCAGCUGGCCUGCGUGUGUGCCCUGGUCAUUGGUUGAUCAGUCUCUUCCCUGGGCCUGCGGCUUACGUCGUUGGGUGAGGGAGCUGAGAGGAAGUCGUCUGAUAAAUAUCUACCAUCCUGUUGUCUCGACAUCAAGGAGGAGAUGCGCUGUCAGGGACGCCCAAUGGGCCCCCAAUGCAAACUUUCGCCAAAGAUGGAUCUGUCGUUUGCGUGAGGACUUUAGUGGGUUGCUUCCAAGCGAGAUUCGGUACAGGAAAGUCUAUCUUCGACCCCAUCCAAGGAGUGCUCUUUAUUAGCGUUAGCAGCUGUUACUAUUCACAUUUCGAGAAGCAAUAAAUCCUUCAUAUCAAAAGAAA